RNAcentral lists this ribosomal RNA (494 nucleotides) under uncultured bacterium. RNAcentral's name for it is "partial 16S ribosomal RNA". It matches the Rfam family "Bacterial small subunit ribosomal RNA", at positions 28 to 507 of the family's 1533-position model. The record is from RNAcentral.
GACGAACGCUGGCGGCGCGCUUAACACAUGCAAGUCGAACGGAAAGGCCUGCUUUCCCUUGUGGAUUGCGGGUACUCGAGUGGCGAACGGGUGAGUAACACGUGAGUGAUCUGCCCCCAACUUGGGCAUAAGCCUGGGAAACUGGGUCUAAUUCCCGAUAGGACUGCAGGGUGGUGCCUGUGGUGGAAAACGAUCUUCUAGUGGUUGGUGAUGAGCUCGCGGCCUAUCAGCUUGUUGGUGGGGUAAUGGCCUACCAAGGCGGAGACGGGUAGCCGGCCUGAGAGGGUGGACGGCCACAUUGGGACUGGGAUACGGCCCAGACUCCUACGGGCGGCAGCAGUGGGGACGAUUGCACAAUGGGCGGGAGCCUGAUGCAGCGACGCCGCGUGGGGGAUGACGGCCUUCGGGUUGUAAACUCCUUUCGACCGCGAGGAAGCCACCUGGUUGGAAGGGUGGUGACGGUAGUGGUAGAAGAAGCACCGGCUAACUACGUG